GUGAAUCAUCGAAUCUUUGAACGCAAAUUGCGCUUCCUAGCAUCCCGGGAAGUAUGCCUGUUUGAGGGUCAGUAUUAACAAAAAAAUCGGUGUGGUUGCAAAUUGUGACGUUUCCGGAGUUUGGGCUAUCUUUACUCUUUUGGUUAAGGGGCUUAAAAUUGACCUUUUUUGCUCAUUUUUAGACUUAAUUAUAUUUUUUUUUUUUUCGUCUAUGCUUAAUGGCUAA
RNAcentral lists this unclassified non-coding RNA (226 nucleotides) under Glomeraceae sp. RNAcentral describes it as "partial contains 5.8S ribosomal RNA and internal transcribed spacer 2". The stretch from base 1 to 71 matches the Rfam family "5.8S ribosomal RNA", at positions 84 to 154 of the family's 154-position model. Lineage: Eukaryota; Fungi; Glomeromycota; Glomeromycetes; Glomerales; Glomeraceae. The record is from RNAcentral.